GAAUCGGCAAACAUCUGGUCUGACGCACAGAAACUUGAUAUGAAGGCUUAAGGAUGUGGAUGAGUUUGCAUAACAAAACAAAGUCCAUAGUUAUCCGGAACAUCCGAAGUAAAUCAAGCAGACAUAAGAUGGAAAGAAUA
This 140-nucleotide non-coding RNA is filed under the name Phocaeicola dorei. Lineage: Bacteria; Pseudomonadati; Bacteroidota; Bacteroidia; Bacteroidales; Bacteroidaceae. The record is from RNAcentral.